This 27-nucleotide non-coding RNA is filed under the name Bombyx mori (domestic silkworm). Lineage: Eukaryota; Metazoa; Arthropoda; Insecta; Lepidoptera; Bombycidae. The record is from RNAcentral.
GCAAGCAGUGGUGUACAGACGAAAUGA